Molecule: ribosomal RNA, 271 nt
Filed under: uncultured bacterium
Lineage: Bacteria
Description: partial 16S ribosomal RNA
Rfam family: Bacterial small subunit ribosomal RNA
Source: RNAcentral
UACGUAGGGUGCAAGCAUUGUCCGGAUUUAUUGGGCGUAAAGAGCUCGUAGGCGGCUUGUCACGUCGGAUGUGAAAACUCGGGGCUCAACCCCGAGCCUGCAUUCGAUACGGGCUAGCUAGAGUGUUGCAGGGGAGACUGGAAUUCCUGGUGUAGCGGUGAAAUGCGCAGAUAUCAGGAGGAACACCGGUGGCGAAGGCGGGUCUCUGGGCAACUACUGACGCUGAGGAGCGAAAGCGUGGGGAGCGAACAGGAUUAGAAACCCGAGUAGU